Molecule: long non-coding RNA, 259 nt
Organism: Ipomoea nil (Japanese morning glory)
Lineage: Eukaryota; Viridiplantae; Streptophyta; Magnoliopsida; Solanales; Convolvulaceae
Exons: 3
Source: RefSeq, a predicted model, not a curated record
UCGACACCCUGCUCCUCUUUAGCCUCUGUCUUCUCAACGUUACGCUUACAGCAGCCAGCUGCCAUUUUUUCUUUUCCAUUGCUUCCUCAGCUCCUGCCUCCACCGGCCACCGUCGUCCGGCUAUUCUCCUCCGUGGCUCCGUCCGUUCACCAUUAGAGAUUUAUAGCCUCAGGUAGUCAGAUUUUGAUGAAUUUUAUUGGCAAUGUGAGUGUGUGACCGUGCAGCUUAUUCGCCCUACUCGAAGGAAAUUAUGGCUCCC